UGAGACAUAUCCAUUGCAGUGCCAAAUAAAGAAAGUUUUCCGAGAAUUAACAGCAGGACAAUGGUCCGCUUGUUGUAUAUAAUAAAUAUCACACUGGUGUUGUAUAUGUGUAGCCGGUGCUAGAAUUUACAUAUGCAUGCUCCACAACCUAUGUUCGUACAAACACAGAUCAUACCGAACGAAAAAUAUGCUCUGGUCGGAAAGCAGAGUCCUGGACAAAAGUGAAGUUCACAAAAGACAAUCAUACAUAGGCCAUUGCUUCAACUCGUAGUUUAGGCCUUGCCAGACUCCUCGCAACCCGGUGGCCUGAAUGCGAUGAAGCUGACGCACUGCACCUGGCGCAGGUUGUCGAAGCCGAUGACGCGGACAUAGGCGUCAGGGUACUCCUUCUUGACCUCCUCCACCUCGUUGAGCACCUGCGUGGCGUCGGUGCACCCGAACAUAGGCAGCUUCCACAUUGUCCAGUAUCGGCCGUCGUAGUACCCGGGGGAGCUGUUGUGCUCACGAAAGACGAAGCCAACCUUGCUGAACUCGAGGCAGGGCACCCACUUGGAGCGGAUCAGGUAGUCGACCUGCUUCAGGAGGGCCUCCGUGGAGAGGGGUGGCAAGUAAGACAGGGUCUCGAACUUCUUGAUGCCCUCAAUCGGCCACACCUGAGUGAAUGGAAAUUAUGGAAUGCACACAACUGCUUAACACUUCGUGCUAGUAAAUUGUACGUACUGAGGAAGAAACUCAUAUCAGUUUUGUGCCUCGACAUACCUGCAUGCACCUGAUCCUUCCGCCAUUGCUGACGCUGCCGAGGCUGCCGCUGGAGCGGCGGCUGACGGGCAGACCGGCCGUGGACUUGAGCCCCUGGAAGGGUGCGACGGUGGUAGCCGACGAAGCCAUCACGGCGGGGGCCAUGGUAUUGUAUUAUCGGCGGAGAGGAGGAUGCUGGCUACACUUGAGGCCCCAUUGCCGGGUCACUACCGUAUAUAUAGCCAGACACUUAGCGCCGUUUCUUUGGUACAGAUGUGGCUGGGGUGGCUGACGUUCUCUGGUUGCCUCGUUUCCUUAUCUUCUCCGGAUCAGUGGAAGAAGCAUGGCCGUCGGAUGCAUUGUGUGUGCUGGAAAUUUCAGUCCUUCAUGUCAUUGGGUGGCUGCCACACAACCUUUUUCCAGCUUUUCUUGUUUUUGGUUUCAUUUAAAGCCAAAAGUUUCUCGAGUACAAAUUUUCUGAGAUGCGACUUGAGUGGCGCGGGCAAAAUAUUUUACAUUUUAUCAUAAAAUCUGAUGGCUCAUUCCCUCGAAAGUAUGCCCAUAGACAUAGAGUGUGCGUGUGUGCAUUUAUAGGGGUUAUUGUACAGGCGUGUAUGCAAACGUCUACUAUUGUACACCGUUUCUCGAAAUAAAAUAUAUGUUUUGUUGGUACAAUUAAUUGAACUAGCAUAGUAACCGUCCACACAUAGAACAAGUUCUUUCCCUCUUGCAAGGCAACUAUUGAAAGCUCUCCACCUCUCUAUCUGCCAGUGAGCCUAUGGAUCCGCCUUCCCUCUGCGGGAAGGGCAUUCUUGGUGGCUCAGCUCUGGCUAGUAGAUAAGUAGGGUUUUAGUCCUCAUAGGUGAGGCGCUUGGACGGAUGGCGGCCCUUCUUCUUUGAGCCAAUCUUUCGGGAUCCGAUCCUCUUCAAGUUCCUCUGUCUGGGGAGUUCCGACAUAGAUUCCUGCCAGCUCCUCAAGCGGCGAGGUUAGGAAUUCUCGUCAUGCAUACGCACAUUGAGAUUUGGUGUCAGAUUCUUUAGACCGAUUCAGGGAUUCAACGGCGACGACUGCGGCUCCAGAGCACUGGUUCUUAUGGGCACGUGCAUGAAGACUUCCUGACUGUCAUCGACAAGGUUAGGAUAGCUCCAGAGUGGGAGCAACGACAACGGUGUGUUAGUGGCUCGUCUCUGUGAGUAGGAAGGAAAAAAAGCCCUAUAUCUCGACAUUUUGACAACUAUGUGACAAUGGGAUUGAGCUACUCCAUACCUUCUUUUAAACACUAGUGGGUAGGAAUGAAAAGCUCUAUAUCUCAACUAUUAACACGUAUGGCUAAAUCUGUACCUUGAAUUAUAGGAUAUGCCAAUUGAUCAAUGGUGGGCGGUCUCCCACAUAACAUUGUCUCUCAAAUAGAGCUGCAAAUGAGUCGAGUUCGAGCAAGUUGGACUUGGCUCAGCUCAACUCAUAUUAAAAUUCGAGCGAGCUCAAACUGAGUGAAGCUUAAGGUCAAGCUGUAGAAUAUGACUCAUGCUUAGCUUGUAAUGAUCUCGAGUCGAUCUCGAGCUAGUUUCGAGUUAAAUGAGAUGAUAUAAAAUAUAAAAUUUAUGACUAUUAUUCCAACUAGAUAAGCACAACACGGCAUAAAAAAGCACAAAAAAUAUUAUUCCAAUCAGAACGAGGAUAAUACAACUUUCUUUUGAAAUGAUACAAAUUUGUUAGAAAUAGUUUAACUUAUUCUAUCACAACCGAAAGUCUAGUAUCAACAUAAGAUAACGAUUCAUGACAUAUAUAUAAUUGGGAAAACGAAGAUGCAUAUGCUGGGAACUCUUGCCAGAAAUAACAUAAUAUUUAACACAUAGCGGACCACGUACCAUAAUAAAGCCUAAAUUUUCUCUAUAACUAAUUAAGCUUCGAUGUUCGUUUGUAAAUAAAACGGAGAAAAAUCCUGGAUGACAUAUAUGGUAUUAAAUUAUCGUAUUUUCAUUUAUUAUAUGGCAUGAUCAUUUAACAUAAUGAUAUUAUGCCGAGCUAUGGAGCGAGCCAGUAUUGGUUCAAGAUCAGCCCGUUUCUCGACUAAGCUACAUGAAGUGUUCGUACUCAACUCAUUUCUUUUUGAGUCGAGUGAAAAAACGAGUCGAUCUCGAGCCGCUCACGAGCCUCAAGCUUUUCUUCCAGCCCUAAUCUCAAGCAACGUCAUGUUGAGACAACUCAAUCAUCAUACUUUCCAUCCCAUAUCAGUGGCGGAUAAUGGAAAGACAUUAGUAUCACAAGGCCUGGACCGAAGGCAAUAAGUUCUAUGGAAAACCGUGAUCCCCAGAAUAAUUGUGUUCCUCUCAUGAUAUCGAUGCCCUGUCACCUGGAGGUCUCUCGAUUUGCACCUGGAGUUGAACGUCUCCAACUACACCAAUUGAUCAGAUGUCUCCAAUCACUAAAUUACCGCAAGAGUAAAUAAUAACAUGAAGAGGAAAAACAUGACUAAACAACGCAUAUCGAAUAACAGCUUACAGCUGAUCGACCCAUAGCCAAUGAUUACUCAAAUAACAUCACAUAUAAAAGGGUUUAAGAGGUGUUACAACCCAUUACAGAGACCGUGAUGGGAGGGGGAACGAGAAGGGCUAUGGGUGAGGACGAUGCGGCGACGACAACACUUCUCCGGCAUUGCCUCUUCAAGGUUGCAAUGAUGGAGAUGGAGGCUUGGCACAACCCUCAAGUGCUUUUUGAUGUCGAUGGCAUCUGAACAUAUGGAUUGUGUCCCCGAGUGGCUAGGGUUGGAGGUGUAUUUAUAAGAACUAGCCCCCUUCGUUGAUGUAGCAUCUCUACUUUGAUACAAGUGCUCUAGGUGAGCCCAAUCUUUCCCAAAACAUCCCUUCAUGGCAAAGAAAGUAGUAGGAAUUAACCGGGACAAAAUCCUCAAAGAAUCCUGUCUGAAAGGGCAACUUUCGUGCUUGUCUAGGCCUAAUACGAGCACUGGUACAACCAUUUUUUUAUGUAUCAAAGUUCGUCGAUCGCUUUGGACUCUUUGGUAAAACCGCCGAAACUUUUACAUCCGGACUCUGUUUUUGAUGUUCAUAUGCUCGUUGGAAUCAUGAUAACAGCGCUGAUGCACUUGUGAUAUUAGAUAUUGAUUGUGAGCACUUUGGAAAAUGACCUUUUUCACCCUCUGAAAUGCCCAAGUCUGGUGUCUCGAUGUCCUUCGUUUGGAUUCUUUUCAUCAUGUUAAGUGCAUGAGAGUUCCACAUCACGUACAAACACACAAAGACAAAGAAUACUAAUAAGAAUAAAUAAAGAAUAAACAUUAUGCAAUGCUCGCGCUGCAAAUGUUAAACACUAGAGAUCAUGCAUAUGGACAAUGUAAUUGGCUCAAUGGCACAUGCUAUACGAGAUAAUAGGCGACAAAUGAGCUCUAAACGUGCGUAAAAAUAGGAGCCAUCACUAGGAUCAACGAGAUAUUAUCUUGUGGAACACCUUCCAUCCUUUUGAAUGGUGAGCCCGGUAGACAAUUCCAGUGAAAACAUGGAGUUCACCAAGGCGGCCCACUGUUACCACUUCUAUUUUUAUUGGUAGUGGAUUUACUUCAGUCUAUCCUCAGUGACAUUUAUCAUUGUGGGGAGAUCUUUCAAUCCCAUCUCAUGAUCUAGAAUCUCCAAUUGUCCACUAUGUUAAUGAUAUAUUGUUGAUUAUGCCGGAUAUUGAUUCUCAGCUUCUUGACCUAAAAGAAAUGUUACAACUUUUGUCUAAAUCCACUUGCUUGAAAGUGAAUUUUUGAAAAUCCUCCAUGGUUCUUAUAAAUGUGAUUGCCAAUGAAUCUUCUCAUUGGCCAGUUUGUUUGAGUGUCAACAGGGUAAGAUGCCUUUCACUUACCUGGUUUACCUAUGGGUAACACUAGGCCCAAGAUCUAGGACUUAAUGCCUUUGGUUGAUAUAAUGAAAAGGAAAUUGGCAGCCAUCUCUUCUCUACUCUCACAAGGCGCUAAAUUGAAACUUUUGAGGUCUGCCAUUUCAUCUAUACCGAUAUACUAUCUUUGUAGUUUGUAGACCCCCCCUUGGUAUAAUUAAACAACUGGAGAGAAUUGAGCAGAAUAUAUCUGGCGUGGCAAUGCUGAAAGCAUAAAUCGACCAUUCGCGAUAUGUCAUCUGGUUUGUAAACCAAAAGGAGAAUGGUUGUAUCGGUAUCAUUAACCAUCAUAUUCAGGACCAACCUUUGCUUACAAAAUACUUGUACAAAUUUUAUAAUAAAGCUCAUAUUCCAUGGGUAACUUUGAUAUAGACUUCUUACUAUCAUGGAGUCAUACCUGACGCAACAGUUCUUUGUGGCUCUUUCUGGUGGAGGGAUAUUUGGGAACUUAAUGAUCAGUACAUGGCAAUCUCUUCAAUCAAAGUUAAUACUGGCAACUUUGCCCUGUUCUUGCUUGAUGCCUAGUUGAUUGAGGGAUCUUCUCUACCUCUUCGACAUCAUUUGGAAGGCUCUUUUCAUUGCCUUGGAUAAAAAAAAUCUGUUAAAGAUUUUACAGAAACCCCUGAUCGGACCACUCUUUUGCGCCUGCCAAUUUCUGCUGAGGCGAUAGAUGAAUUGCGACCUAUGGAUGGUUGGUUACAUAGCCUUCAGCGAAAGAUGUUUUUUCUUGGUAAGGAGGAUCAUUUUCCGCCAAAAGCUUCUACUGCAUGAUGCACAAGCACAUGCCCACCGAUGAACCUCUUGCGAAUGGAUAUGAUAGAGCACCAUGAAGAUCAAGAUCUUUGCUUAGAUCCUAUUGUUUUAUCGGUUGAACGCUUGGAACAUGCUUCUUAGAAGGCACUGGCUUUCUCCUCGGGAUGAAACCCAUUGUGCUCACAUCAGGAGAGAGACCACUUGUUUUUCUCCUGUAAUUUUAGUCAAAGGAUUUGGACUUAUUUUACAGAUUGAUUGGAGCCCCAGAUGAAACGCUAGACAAUGUAUUGAUGUUGCAUGUAAACGAUUUGGAUACCAGUGGCGGCGCCAAGAUUUUGAGGGUGGGUAUUCAUUGGCACAAAAAAAUUACUCUAAAUGUAUUAUAAAGACACCAGUACAACAAUAGUAAUUUUUUAAUGCAUCAAACCAUACUAAUUAUACAUAAACAUAAAGACACCAGUACCUUUUGAUUGACAGAUUGGUGAUAUCCCAUCUUACAAUAUAACUUUGCGAUUGCCUUUUUGGAAGAGAUUGAUGACAUCCUCAUCCUUUACUUGAUUGAAGAAUUCUCUCUCAACAAAUGUAACCAAACAAUUGUUCAAGUAAUCAUCACCCAUUUUGCUCCUUAGCUUAUUCUUCACAUAGUUCAUUGAAGAGAACACCCUUUCAACACUAGCAGUAGCUACUGGCAGAAUUAAUACCAACUUAAGAAGCUUGUAAACAAUAUAGUAUUGUUCAUGCUUGUUUGUCUCGACAAGCAUAACUGAAAGCUCACAUAGAUUCUUCAAGUUUUGAAACCUUUCAUCUCUACGCACAUGAGUAACAUACAUGUUUAGUUGCCAUGGAAGUCUUGCCAGUUCAUCACUUGUGAAAUCACUAGCAUAAAACUUUGUAGCAAGCCUAACCAAUUUCUCUUGAUCAUAAGCAGCAAAUAGACGAAGUGGACAAAAUGCUGCCAUGCAAGAAAGUAGAUCUGUGUUUACCUCAUCAAAUCUGCCAUUCAACUCACUAAUUUGCAUAUCAAUGACACUCGCAUACAUAUCAACUUUGAAGCGAUGGUAAUUCGUUGCACCAUUAAAGAAACCCCUUCUAGGCUGGCCAGCGGGAAAGUAAGGACCCUCCAUAUCAACAAUUUUGAUCUUAUGCUUUGUACAAAAAGAUGUGACCUUUUUGAGAAAAUCAUCCCAUCCAGGAUCAGUCCUCAAACCCUCCAAGUGAUACUUUGUGAUAUCAACAAGCUCAAUAGCAUGAACAAUAUCUUGGUCUUGCUUUUGCAAAGCUCUACUCAACUCAUCUGUGUAUCCAAAUAUUUGUUGCAUCAAGUGUGCCAUGAAAACAAACUCUAAUGAUCGAAAUGAUGUCAAUAUGGUUAGAGCCGCUUGCGCCUCCACACCAUGGUACUCUUUUCCAAUCUUGAUGAGGACUCGUUGUAUUGCACCAUACAUACAGAUGACAUGGUUCACGGGUUUGAAGUGAGAGCCCCAACGUGUAUCACAUGGCCUUCCCAAACCCAUUUCCUGAUUCAGCCCACUCCCGGUUUCUACUUCUUCCAAUUCCAAUGCAUCAAUGAGUUCCUCAGCCUGAGCUAUACGAAGCAUUCUCAUAUUUUUACAAGACAUGCCAAGAGAAUUUAACAAGUGUGCAAGUUGUUGAAAGAACUGUUGGGGAACGUAGCAGAAUUCUAAAAUUUUCUACGCAUCACCAAGAUCAAUCUAUGGAGUCAUCUAGCAACGAGGGAGAGGGGAGUGCAUCUACAUACCCUUGUAGAUCGCGAACGGAUGCUUUCAAGAGAACGGGGUUGAUGGAGUCGUACUCGUCGUGAUCCAAACCACCGAUGACCUAGCGCCGAACGGACGACACCUCCGCGUUCAACACACGUACGGUUGGAAGACGUCUCCUCCUUCUUGAUCCAGCAAGGGGAAGGAGAGGUUGAUGGAGAUCCAGCAGCAUGAUGGCGUGGUGGUGGAAGCAGCGGUGAUCUCGGCAGGGCUUCACCAAGCUCCAACGAGAGAGAGAGAGAGGUGUUACGCGGGGAGAGGGAGGCGCCAGAGACUUGGUGCGGCUGCCCUCCCCCCACUUUAUAUAGGGCCCCUAGGGGGGCGCCGGCCCUAGGAGAUGGGAUCUCCAAGGAGGGGCGGCGGCCAAGGGGGACUUGCCCCCCAAGCCAAGUGGGGCGCCCCCCACCCCUAGGGUUUCCAACCCUAGGCGCAGGGGGAGGCCCAUGGGGGGCGCAUCAGCCCACCAGGGGAUGGUUCCCCUCCCACUUCAGCCCAUGGGGCCCUCCGGGAUAGGUGGCCCCGCCCGGUGGACCCCCGGGACCCUUCCGGUGGUCCCGAUACAAUACCGAUUACCACCAAAACUUUCCCGAUGGCCGAAACUAGACUUCCUAUAUAUAAAUCUUCACCUCCGGACCAUUCCGGAACUCCUCGUGACAUCCGGGAUGUCAUCCGGGACUCCGAACAACUUUCGGCUUACCGCAUACUAAUAUCUCUACAACCCUAGCGUCACCGAACCUUAAGUGUGUAGACCCUACGGGUUCGGGAGACAAGCAGACAUGACCGAGACGACUCUCCGGUCAAUAACCAACGUCAGGAUUUGGAUACCCAUGUUGGCUCCCACAUGUUACACGAUGAUCUCAUCGGAUGAACCACGAUGCCGAGGAUUCAAUCAAUCCUGUAUUCAACUCCCUUUGUCAAUCGGUACGUUACUUGCCCGAGAUUCGAUCGUCGGUAUUCCAAUACCUCGUUCAAUCUCGUUACCGGCAAGUCACUUUACUCGUUCCGUAACACAUCAUACCGUGACCAACCCUUAGCCACAUUGAGCUCAUUACAAUGAUGUUUUACCGAGUGGGCCCAGAGAUACCUCUCCGUCAUGCGUAGUGACAAAUCCCAGUCUCGAUUCGUGCCAACCUAACAGUCACUUUCGGAGAUACCCGUAGUGGACCUUUAUAGUCACCUAGUUACGUUGUGACGUUUGGAACACCCAAAGAAUUCCUACAGUAUCCAAGAGUUGCACAAUCUCAUGGUCUAAGGAAAAGAUACUUGACAUUCGAAAAGCUCUAGCAGAUGAACUACACGAUCUUGUGCUAUGCUUAAGAUUGGGUCUUGUCCAUCACAUCAUUCUUCUAAUGAUGUGAUCCCCGUGAUCAAUGACAUCUAAUGUCCAUAGUCAGGAAACCAUGACUAUCUGUUGAUCAACGAGCUAGUCAACUAGAGGCUCACUAGGGACAUGUUGUGGUCUAUAUAUUCACACAUGUAUUACGAUUUCUGGAUAACACAAUUAUAGCAUGAACAAUAGACAAUUAUCAUGAACAAGGAAAUAUAAUAAUAACCAUUUUAUUAUUGCCUCUAGGGCAUAUUUCCAACAGUCUCCCACUUUCACUAGAGUCAAUAAUCUAGUUACAUUGUGAUGAAUCGAACACCCAUAGAGUUCUGGUGUUGAUCAUGUUUUGCUCGAGGAAGAGGUUUAGUCAACGGAUCUGCGACAUUUAGGUCCGUAUAAACUCUGCAAAUAUCUAUGUCUCCAUUUUGUACAUUUUCACGAAUGGAGUUGAAGCGACGCUUGAUAUGCCUGGUCUUCCUGUGAAACCUGGGCUCCUUGGCAAGGGCAAUAGCUCCAGUGUUGUCACAGAAGAGAGUCAUCGGGCCCAACGCAUUGGGAAUAACUCCUAGGUCGGUAAUGAACUCCUUCACCCAGAUUACUUCUUGUGCUGCCUCUGAGGCUGCCAUGUACUCCGCUUCACAUGUAGAUCCCGCCACGACGCUUUUCUUGCAACUGCACCAGCUGACUGCCCCACCAUUCAAAAUAUACACAUAUCCGGUUUGUGACUUAGAGUCAUCCAGAUCUGUGUCGAAGCUAGCAUCGACAUAACCCUUUACGACGAGCUCUUCAUCACCUCCAUAGACGAGAAACAUAUCCUUAGUCCUUUUCAAGUACUUCAGGAUAUUCUUGACCGAUGUCCAGUGUUCCAUGCCGGGAUUACUUUGGUACCUUCCUACCAAACUUACGACAAGGUUUACAUCAGGUCUGGUACACAGCAUGGCAUACAUGAUAGACCCUAUGGCCGAGGUAUAGGGGAUGACACUCAUCUUUUCUCUAUCUUAUGCCAUGGUCGGGCAUUGAGCUGUGCUCAAUCUCACACCUUGCUAUACAGGCAAUAACCCCUUCUUGGACUGAUCCAUAUUGAACUUCUUCAAUAUCUUGUCAAGGUAUGUACUUUGUGAAAGACCAAUGAGGCGUCUCGAUCUAUCUCUAUAGAUCUUGAUGCCUAAUAUAUAAGCAGCUUCUCCAAGGUCCUUCAUUGAAAAACACUUGUUCAAGUAGGCCUUUAUGCUUUCCAAGAAUUCUAUAUCAUUUCCCAUCAAUAGUAUGUCAUCCACAUACAAUAUGAGAAAUGCUACGGAGCUCCCACUCACUUUCUUGUAAACGCAGGCUUCUCCAUAAGUCUGCGUAAACCCAAACGCUUUGAUCAUCUCAUCAAAACGAAUGUUCCAACUCUGAGAUGCUUGCACCAGCCCAUAAAUCGAGCGUUGGAGCUUGCACACCUCGUCAGCAUUCUUAGGAUCGACAAAACCUUCCGGCUGCAUCAUAUACAAUUCUUCCUUAAGGAAACCAUUAAGGAAUGCCGUUUUGAUGUCCAUUUGCCAUAUCUCAUAAUCAUAGAAUGCGGCAAUUGCUAACAUGAUUCGGACGGACUUCAGCUUCGCUACGGGUGAGAAAGUCUCAUCGUAGUCAACCCCUUGAACUUGUGAUAACCCUUAGCGACAAGCCGAGCUUUAUAGAUGGUCAGAUUACCAUCCGCGUCUGUCUUCUUCUUAAAGAUCCAUUUAUUUUCUAUGGCUCGCCGAUCAACGGGCAAGUCAGUCAAAGUCCAUACUUCCUUUUCAUACAUGGAUCCUAUCUCAGAUUUCAUGGCUUCCAGCCAUUUGUCAGAAUCUGGGGCCGCCAUCGCUUCUUCAUAGUUCGAAGGUUCACCAUUGUCCAACAACAUGAUUUCCAGGAUAGGGUUGCCGUACCACUCUGGUGCGGAACGCGUCCUUGUGGACCUUUGAAGUUCAGUAGCAACUUGAUCUGAAGUUUCAUGAUCAUCAUCAUUAUCUUCCUUCCUAGUCGGUGCAGACACCUCAGGAACAAUUUCUUGAGCUGCGCCACUCUCUUGUUCAAGAGGCAAUACUUCAUCAAGUUCUACUUUCCUCCCACUUACUUCUUUCGAGAGAAACUCUUUCUCUAGAAAGGAUUCAUUCUUGGCAACAAAGGUCUUGCCUUCGGAUCUAAGAUAGAAGGUAUACCCAAUAGUUUCUUUAGGGUAUCCUAUGUAGACGCAUUUUUCCAAUUUGGGUUCGAGCUUUUCAGGUUGAAGUUUCUUGACAUAAGCAUCGCAUCCCCAAACUUUCAGAAACGACAUCUUAGGUUUCUUGCCAAACCACAAUUCAUACGGUGUCGUCUCAACGGAUUUCGACGGAGCCCUAUUUAAAGUGAAUGCGGCAGUCUCUAUAGCAUAACCCCAAAAUGAUAGCGGUAGAUCGGUAAGAGACAUCAUAGAUCGUACCAUAUCCAAUAGGGUGCGAUUACGACGUUCGGACACACCAUUACGCUGUGGUGUUCCAGGCGGCGUGAGUUGUGAAACUAUUCCACAUUUCCUUAAGUGCGUGCCAAAUUCGUGACUCAAAUAUUCUCUCCCACGAUCUGAUUGUAAGAACUUGAUUUUCCUCUCACGUUGAUUCUCAACCUCACUCUGAAAUUCCUUGAACUUUUCAAAGGUCUCAGACUUGUGUUUCAUUAAGUAGACAUACCCAUAUCUACUUAAGUCAUCGGUGAGGGUGAGGACAUAACGAUAGCCACCGCGAGCCUCAACGCUCAUUGGACCGCACACAUUAGUAUGUAUGAUUUCCAAUAAGUUGGUUGCUCGCUCCAUUGUUCCGAAGAACAGAGUCUUGGCCAUUUUACCCAUGAGGCAUGGUUCGCACGUGUCAAAUGAUUCAUAAUCAAGAGACUCCAAAAGUCCAUCUGCAUGGAGUUUCUUCAUGCGUUUGACACCAAUGUGACCAAGGCGGCAGUGCCAAAAGUAUGUGGGACUAUCAUUAUCAACCUUACAUAUUUUGGCAUUCACACUAUGAAUGUGUGUAACAUCACGUUCGAGAUUAAAUAAGAAUAAACCAUUGACCAGCGGGGCAUGACCAUAAAACAUGUCUCUCAUAUAAAUAGAACAACCAUUAUUCUCAGAUUUAAAUGAGUAGCCAUCUAGCAUUAAAUGAGAUCCAGAUACAAUGUUCAUGCUCAAAGCUGGUACUAAAUAACAAUUAUUGAGGUUUAAAACUAAUCUCGUAGGUAAAUGCAGAGGUAGCAUGCCGACGGCGAUCACAUCGACCUUGGAACCAUUCCCAACGCGCAUCGUCACCUCGUCCUUCGCCAGUCUCCGUUUAUUCCACAGUUCCUGUUUUGAGUUACAAAUAUGAGCAACUGCACCAGUAUCAAAUACCCAGGAGCUACUACGAGCACUGGUAAGGUACACAUCAAUAACAUGUAUAUCACAUAUACAUUUGGUAUUGUUGGCCUUCUUUUCCGCUAAGUACUUGGGGCAAUUCCGCUUCCAGUGACUGUCUCCCUUGCAAUAAAAGCACUCAGUCUCAGGCUUGGGUCCAUUCUUUGACUUCUUCCCGGCAGCUUGCUUACUGGGCGCGGCAAAUCCCUUGUCGUCCUUCUUGAAGUUCUUUUUACCCUUGCCUUUCUUCACUACUAGGGAAAAGGCUAGCAGCAGCGCGGGUUUUAGACCUAUCAGUAGCGCGGGGUGGUGCGCUACUGAUAAGGCGCUACAGCUAACGAAUAGCAGUAGCGUGCCUCCACCCACGCUACGACUAAAUAGACUUAGUAGCAGCGAGUUCCAGGAGGAGCGUUGCUGGUAAUUAGUAGUAGCGCUUCUCUCUGCCCGCGCUGCUACUAUUAUUUCGUAUUUUAUUUCUUUUUUAUUUCAUGUUGUAUUCGUACACCUUUACACAAAUUUUCAUACAACAGGAAUUUACAAAUUGUUUUUACAUCAUAAUGAGUUAUUACAUCACGGGGUGAAAGAACCGUGUGGACUAGUUUCAAGUGGACGGACAUCCACUUGAAACUAAUCCGCGGUUCUUUCACCCAAUGAUAUAAUAAAUAUCAUCAUCAUCAUAUCAUUAACAACUUAUCAUCAUCAUCAUCAUAUCAUUGGUCACUAGUCGUAAUCACAAGUAUUCCUGACAUCUUCAACUCUAACACAUUGUAUCACAUAAUAAACAUAUUGUACCUCAUAGGACCUACUACAUUCUCUUAGGACCUACUAUAUUCUCUAAGGUAAAAUAGAAAAAAACAAGAUAGCCCCUCGCUCUCCAUUAUGGAGAAUGCAGAUUAUCCUGUCUCCAAUUCUUGCCUUUCACUUAAUGUUGCUUCCAAGAAUCUCCUUACGAAUGUCCAAACAUUUUUUCCACUCUUUGAUUAGCAUGUGUUCACCGGUUUCAGAAAUUCGAUAUGCACAGGUGAGAUCCAUAGGAUGACCUGGCUGUAGGUUCAGAACUUCAAGGCGACCAUUGUAAUACAUCAAAUGAGGCACACAAUCCAUCGGGAUUUUCUAUUGAAAAACAUAGUAAUAACUUCAUAGUUAGCAAUGAUGUACUAGUUUUAGAAGUAUGCAAAAGAUGCACGGAUGUCGUAAUAGUAAAAUAUCUUACCAGGGUAUCUCCAUAGAAGUUAUCGUGGUUUAACACGUGCACUAGUGGCACGUAUUCACCAUAAUUUGGAGGAGUUCGAUAAUAGGUAUUGUAAUUCUCAAAAAAAGUACAAUAAGCAAUCAGAUGAUUUUUCUCCUUAUAAGUUAAUUCGGAGCCAUCAGUGUAGUGGGUUUUGUCUACCAUCUUCUCCACAUUCUUUGAAGAUUCAAAAUAAGCUAUCAAUGGAAAUAAGCUGUCAACUAUUUUGAAAUAAACAAUAUAAAUUAGUUAAUAACUAUGUUUGAGAAACUCACAUUGCGGUAGAAUCGGAAGCGUAUCAACAAGGACCCAAAUGUCCAUAUUGUCUUGCUCAAUGUCAGGAUGACCAAGAUCCAUGGUGACAAUCAUACCCUCAUAAAAACCAUACAUUUUGCAAAGUGCUUCCCAAUUUUGACAACCAAAAUGGGUUACGCUCUGAGAAUUAUACAGAUUUACUUCAAAAUCGAUAUCAUGAUGGGUCCUUAGGUGUAUUUUCUUUGUUUGAAAAUUUUAAUGGUCUUCAAAACCCAUCCUCUCCAAGACAUAGCAUCUUGCAUGGCAUGGGAUAAGCUAGUCAAAUUGUAAAAGAUGAAAAUUAGACAUUGAAAUAGGUGAAGUCAUGCUUAAUUACGAAAAAAACACUUGUCGUUGUUGCGUACCGUUUCAACAUCGAAGGUCUCCUCGAGCUUAAUGCUGAAGCGCCGAUCUUCGUCCAGCUCAACGAACCUGUCGCACAUACCUCGAUCGUCGUGGCACCAGCUGCACUCCCCCGGGAGACCGUCGUAGUCCGAGUACAACAUUUCCUAUGUUCAUAAUUCAAAGAUUAAACUUGUACAAUUAAAUAUAUGUACUAAAAAACCUAAAUUAGAUCAUUAUUUUUCAAAGAAAAUCCAGGCCACUCGAUAUUUCCCACAUAUUCUAGCACAAGUCAUGCCAGAAUUCACGGAAAAAUCCGGCAUGACCUUUGCUAAAAAAGGACAUAUCGAGCGCCUGAAAUUUGCCGAAACGGAAAUUAAUCAACACUCCGGCAAAACAUAGGCCACUCGGAGGUGUAACCAAAACAUGAAAUAAUUGCUUAAACUAAAAAAUAACACCAAAUAUGGCAUGUUCAACUAGUUCUAUUAAUUCAACUAGUUCUAUUAAUUCAACUAGUUCUUACUAAAUAUAAACUUAGUAUAAAAAGAAAAAAACCAGUUCUUUCUAAAAAUGAAGUAGUUCAACUAGUUAUUAAUUUACUUACUAUACUAGUUCAACUAAAACUUAACUAGUUCAACUAAAACUAAACUAGUUCUAUUAAUUCAACUAGUUCUUACUAAAUAUAAACUUACUAUAAAUAGAAAGAAACUAGCACAUCUAGUACUACUAAUUAACAUCUAACUACUACAUCUACUACUAAUUAACAUGUACUACUGCUAAUUAUACAACUAGUUUACCAUCACUACUAGUAAUUAAUAUCCACUACUUCUAAAAAUCAUUAUCUAUGAACCCUAAAUUAACAUCUACUACUACUAAAAUCAUGUACUAACUGAGCAAAGAGAGAGGGGGUUGGGGAGGGGUGGUGGGCUUACAGAGGGAGAGAUGGUGGCGGGGAGGUGCUCGGCAACGGAGGGGCGGCGAGGGCGGGCUCGGGAUCGGGAGGGCGGCGGUCCUGGGCGGCGGGCUCAGCAGGCUCGGUCGAGGGCAGCGGUGGUGAGGUCGAGGGCGGCGACAGUGUGGUCAAGAGCGGCGGCGGUGAGGUUGAGGGCGGGCGGAGGCGGCGGUGAGGGCGCAGGCGCACUCGGGCUCGGGCGGCGGCGACAUGGAGUAGGGGAACAGGCCGGUGGGGGGGGGAGGAGGACUUAGCGAAAUUUUGAUGCGGGGGGUGGUUAACUCGAACUAGCAGUAGCGCACGUAUAGAAAAUGCGCUAUAGCUAGCUUAUCUACAACGCGUUUUGGGAAAAACCGCUACUGCUAAUGGAAGCAGUUGUUUCUUUUGUUUAGUAAAAACAUCAAAAAUAUACAUUGGUCAUCAUUAAUCUUGUUGUGUAUAAUCUAAAUAGUCAACAUGAAUCCUCACUAUACCUGUAUAGGUACAGGCGAGGAUUCAUAUUGCAACCACAAAUCAUACACAUAUAGUUCAAUGAAGACCAAGUGCUCGAGAUAGGUUGAGAAGCAACAUAUUUAAGGUGGUAAACACCUUGUUCGCUUAGCAGUAUGGGACUAAACUUAAUUAGUUGCGGUCAUACUUACCAGCAGCGAGUUUUGAGCAAAACCGCUGCUACUAAGUUCUUUAGCAGUAGCGCGUCCACGGGAAGGGCGCUACUACUAUAUCUAGCCUGGAGGCAACACCGUGGCAAUUAUAGUAGUAGCUCUCUUUUCACCUAGAGCGCUACUGCUACUCAGUCAUUAGCAACGCUCUUUUCUAAAGCUCGUUGCUGCUAAUUAGCAGUAGCGUCUAUUUUUAGACCGCGCUGCUGCUAAGAUUCUGUGUAUAAGGUUUUCCCUAGUAGUGCUUGAACUUAGUGGUUUUAUUCACCAUCAACACUUGAUGUUCCUUUUUGAUUUCCACCUCCGCUGAUUUCAGCAUUGAAUAUUUCUCGGGAAUGGUCUUUUCCAUCCCCUGCAUAUUGAAGUUCAUCACAAAGCUCUUGUAGCUAGGUGGGAGCGACUGAAGGAUUCUGUCAACGACCGCAUCAUCCGGGAGAUUAACUCCUAGCUGAGACAAGCGGUUAUGCAGCCCAGACAUUUUGAGUAUGUGCUCGCUGACAGAACUGUUCUCCUCCAUCUUACAACUGUAGAAAUUGUCGGAGACUUCAUAUCUCUCGAUCCGGGCGUGAGCUUGGAAAACCAUUUUCAGCUCUUGGAACAUCUCAUAUGCUCCGUGUUGCUCAAAACGCUUUUGGAGCCCCGGUUCUAAGCUGUAAAGCAUGCCGCACUGAACCAGGGAGUAAUCAUCACUACGUGUCUGUCAAGCGUUCAUAAUGUCUUGUUCUGCAGGGAAAACAGGUACUUCACCUAGCGGUGUAUCAAGGACAUAUGCUUUCCUGGCAGCUAUGAGGAUAAUUUUCAGGUUACGGACCCAGUCCGUGUAGUUGCUGCCAUCGUCUUUCAGGUUGGUUUUCUCUAGGAACGCAUUGAAGUUGAGGGAAACAUUAGCGUGGGCCAUUUGAUCUACAAGACAUAUUGCAAAGAUUUUAGACUAAGUUCAUGAUAAUUAAGUUCAUCUAAUCAAAUUAUUUAAAGAACUCCCACUCAGGCAGACAUCCCUCUAGUCAUCUAAGUGAUACAUGAUCCGAGUCAACUAGGCCGUGUCUGAUCAUCACGUGAGACGUCAUCGGUGAACAUCUUCAUGUUGAUCGUAUCUUCUAUACGACUCAUGUUCGAACUUUGGGUCUUCCGUGUUUCGAGGCCAUGUCUGUACAUGCUAGGCUUGUCAAGUCAACCUAAGUGUAUUGCAUGUGUAAAUCUGGCUUACACCCAUUGUAUUCGAAUGUUAGAAUCUAUCACACCCGAUCAUCAUGUGGUGCUUCGAAACAACGAACCUUCGCAACGGUGCACAAUUAGGGGGAACACUUUCUUGAAAUUAUGUGAGGGAUCAUCUUAUUUAAGCUACCGUCGUUCUAAGCAAAUAAGAUGUAAAACAUGAUAAACAUCACAUGCAAUCAAAUAGUGACAUGAUAUGGCCAAUAUCAUUUGCUUCUUUUGAUCUCCAUCUUCGGGGUGCCAUGAUCAUCAUUGUCACCGGCAUGACACCAUGAUCUCCAUCAUCGUGUCUUCAUGAAUUUAUCUCGUCAUCUAUUACUUCUACUACUAUGGCUAACGGUUUAGCUAUAAAGUAAAGUAAUUACAUGACGUUUAUGUUGACACGCAUGUCAUAAAUAAAUUAAGACAACUCCUAUGGCUCCUGCCGGUUGUCAUACUCAUCGACAUGCAAGUCAUGAUUCCUAUUACAAGAACAUGAUCAAUCUCAUACAUCACAUAUAUCAUUCAUCACAUCCUUUUGGCCAUAUCGCAUCACAUGGCACAUGCUGCAAAAACAAGUUCGACGUCCUCUAAUUGUUGUUGCAAGUUUUUACGUGGCUGCUAUAGGUUUCUAGCAAGAACGUUUCUUACCUACGCCAAAACCACAACGUGAUAUGCCAAUUUCUAUUUACCCUUCAUAAGGACCCUUUUCAUCGAAUCCGAUCCGACUAAAGUGGGGGAGACAGACACACGCUAGCCACCUUAUGCAACUAGUGCAUGUCAGUCGGUGGAACCAGUCUCACGUAAGCGUACGUGUAAGGUCGGUCCGGGCCGCUUCAUCCCACGAUGCGGCCGAAUCAAGAUAAGACUAGUAAUGGCAAGUAAAUUGAAAAAAUCAACGCUCACAACAACUUGUGCUCUACUCGUGCAUAGAAACUACGCAUAGACCUAGCUCAUGAUGCCACUCUUGGGGAACGUAGCAGAAUUCUAAAAUUUUCUAUGCAUCACCAAGAUCAAUCUAUGGAGUCAUCUAGCAACGAGGGAGAGGGGAGUGCAUCUACAUACCCUUGUAGAUCGCGAACGAAAGCGUUCAAGAGAAUGGGGUUGAUGGAAUCGUACUCGUCGUGAUCCAAAUCACCGAUGACCUAGCGCCGAACGGACGGCAUCUCCGCGUUCAACACACGUACGGUUGGGAAGACGUCUCCUCCUUCUUGAUCCAGCAAGGGGAAGGAGAGGUUGAUGGAGAUCCAGCAGCACGACGGUGUGGUGGUGGAAGCAGCGGUGAUCUCUGCAGGGCUUCGCCAAUCUCCAAUGAGAGAGAGAGAGAGGUGUUACAUGGGGAGAGGGAGGCGCCAGAGACUUGGUGCGGCUGCCCUUCCUCCCCCACACUAUAUAUAGGGCCCCUAGGGGGGCGCCGGCCCUAGGAGAUGGGAUCUCCAAGGGGGGGCGCGGCGGCCAAGGGGGACUUGCCCCCCAAGCCAAGUGGGGCGCCCCCACCCCUAGGGUUUCCAACCCUAGGCGCAGGGGGAGGCCCAUGGGGGGCGCACCAGCCCACCAGGGGCUGGUUCCCCUCCCACUUCAGCCCAUGGGGCCCUCCGGGAUAGGUGGCCCCACCAGGUGGGCCCCCGGGACCCUUCCGUUGGUCCCGGUACAAUACCGAUUACCCCCAAAACUUUUCCGAUGGCCAAAACUGGACUUCCUAUAUAUAAAUCUUCACCUCCGGACCAUUCCAGAACUCCUCAUGACAUCCGUGAUCUCAUCCGGGACUCCGAACAACUUUCGGGUUACCGCAUACUAAUAUCUCUACAACCCUAGCGUCACCGAACCUUAAGUGUGUAGACCCUACGGGUUCAGGAGACAAGCAGACAUGACCGAGACGACUCUCUGGUCAAUAACCAACAUCGGGAUUUGGAUACCCAUGUUGGCUCCCACAUGUUCCAUGAUGAUCUCAUCGGAUGAACCAUGAUGCCGAGGAUUCAAUCAAUCCUGUAUCCAAUUCCCUUUGUCAAUCGUUAUGUUACUUGCCCGAGAUUCGAUCAUCGGUAUUCCAAUACCUCGUUCAAUCUCGUUACCGGCAAGUCACUUUACUCGUCCCGUAACACAUCAUCCCGUGACCAACCCUUAGUCACAUUGAGCUCAUUACGAUGAUGUUUUACCGAGUGGGCCCAGAGAUACCUCUCCGUCAUGCGGAGUGACAAAUCCCCGUCUCGAUUCGUGCCAACCCAACAGACACUUUCGGAGAUACCCGUAGUGCACCUUUAUAGUCACCCAGUUGCGUUGUGAUGUUUGGCACACCCAAAGUAUUCCUACAGUAUCCGGGAGUUGCACAAUCUCAUGGUCUAAGGAAAAGAUACUUGACAUUCGAAAAGCUCUAGCAGACGAACUACACGAUCUUGUGCUAUGCUUAAGAUUGGGUCUUGUCCAUCACAUCAUUCUUCUAAUGAUGUGAUCCCGUUAUCAAUGACAUCUAAUGUCCAUAGUCAGGAAACCAUGACUAUCUGUUGAUCAACGAGCUAGUCAACUAGAGGCUCACUAGGGACAUGUUGUGGUCUAUAUAUUCACACAUGUAUUACGAUUUCCGGAUAACACAAUUAUAGCAUGAACAAUAGACAAUUAUAAUGAACAAGGAAAUAUAAUAAUAACCAUUUUAUUAUUGCCUCUAGGGCAUAUUUCCAACAAGAACCAAGUACAAUCACCACUCUCUUUAGCAACAACAACAAGAGUUAACUGUAGUUGAUGGGCAAACCAAUGAACAUAGUAGGCAGAAGGAGAUUCAUCCAUAAUCAGUUUUUAGGCCAUUAGCAUUACCUUUCAUGUUGCUAGCUCCAUCAUAUCCUUGCCUACGAACCAUUGCAAAGGUCAAAUUGUACUUCAUAAGCAUUUGCUCAAUUGCAGCUUUAAGUGUCAAAGAGGUAGUAAAUUGAACAUGAGCAAGACCAAGAAAUCUUACGACAACCCUUCCUUUCUUUUUCUUAUCAACAUAACACAAGCAAAUUGCCAACUGUUCAUUCUGAUACACAUCACUAGACUCACCUGCAAGUAUUGCAAAGUGGCCACCAUCAAGUUCUUCAAUGACUAAUUUUGUAGUCUCCUGUGCACAACAUUUUAUUAACUCAUGUUGUAUAUCAUGGUGAGUCAUCUUGCAGUUUUGUGGAGCAUUUUUGAGAGCAACCCUAUCAACCUCUUCAAAAUUUCCAGCUAGCCAAUUUAAAAGCUCAAGAAAAUUUCCUUUAUUUAGUGAGUUUUCACUUUCAUCAUGUCCUCUAAAUGCCAAUUCUUAGUGCAAUAGAAAUCUCAAACAUUUGAGUGUCCAUGUCAAACGCUGCUUAUACAAAGCCUUAUAUUGUGAGGUAUUUGAAGCAAAAGACUCCCUAAUUGAUGCUUGUGGUGUGAACAUAUCAUACUUCUCUUGAGCUUCAGCAUGAGCACUACUAACCUCACCUUCAUGUUUCUUCAAUCUCGAUUUCAUGUUCCAGUUCCUAAAUCCAUUCUUCACAAAUGCAUCUCCACCGGGAUAUUUUUUCUUAUCCUUGAACAGAUAGCAAACAAAGCAGAAAGCACUAUCUUUUGUCACACUAUACUCAAUCCAUGGAAAUUCUUUAAACCAAGCACGACAAAAGUGACGGUCAACUCCACUUUUAUUUGUAUACUCAAAGUUAUGAUUCUUUGGUUGACAUGGCUUCAUCUCAAUAUAUCUUCUUCUUACUCUAUCUUGGUCAUUGACAGCAUACAUUGAGAUGGGAAUCCGCUUCCCAGGAUCAGGUUCGAGUGCCUCCAAAUCUGCUUCCAUUGGUUCAUCAUCUGCAUCACUUGUUCCACCAUCUUUAUCAAUUGGGGUUGGGGUUGCUUCUCUGCUCCCCGGUUCACAUUCCACAUCCGGUGCUUGCACUAACGCCAAUUGCAAAUUGCUCUCAAGCUGAACAUGAGAGGUACAAGUACCCGAUGCAGCUGCACUCUGAUUCGGUGUAGACAUUUCAUCAAUCUUGUUUGCUUUUGAAGCUUUUUCCCACAAUGCAAGAAUCCUAUUUCCACCACCAGUCCCAUUCUUCUUCUUCAUCUACAUUACAACAAAACAAGGAAGAAAUUAGCAUCUACAAAUUAACAAAACAAGGAAGAAUCCUACUCCAGCUGCAAAAUCGAAUCAACUAAAAUACUGAAACUCUGUUUUCUUUAAUACUGUACCUGAACGCAGGGCACUGACGCAGGUGGGAGAAAGAAACUGCCGCUAGGCGCUGGACCCUGGGCUGGGCGGCGCCGCGGCGGGCGAUGGGCGGCUGGGGCGGGGCGGGGCGUCGUCGCAGCGAUGCAGUCUGAGGGGCGGCCGGCGGACGGCGAGCACCGGUGGCGCUGAGCGGCUAAGGGCGGAGCGGGGGCGGGGCGGUGGCCGGUGACUUGGUGAGCGGGAGCGGGGGUCGCUCGCGCUGGUCGCUGGAAUGGAUACCCUUUCUUCUUUGAAGUGGUGUUCUCUUGGAACUAAUAUUUGUAUUGAACUUAUAAAGGAUGAGCGGGUUGGUAGUCACAACCGCGGCAUCCACGUCGACUGUGAAUAGGCCUGCGACUCGCGCGGCAGCGAACGAAAAAGCGGCAGCGAAAGAAAAAUAAAUGACCCCACGUCCUCCCACGCCCCUUCCUCCUCCUCUCACGAGUCACGCCCGACCCCCUCCUCCUCCUCCUCUCCUCCUCCUCCUCCUCCUCCCGUCCUUCCUCAAAACCCUAGCCACCGCCCCCUCCUCCUCCCACCUCAGCCGCCGCUGCCGCCUCCUCCUCCUCAUCCUCCCACCUCAGUCGCCUCCUAGGAGAGCUCGACACGAUGGGGUGGCCGUGGAGUGCGCCCCGUCCGGAGAGACAAGGCGGCUCCCGAGCAGGGCAUCCGACAGCGCUGGCUUCUCCUCCCCUGCGCCACCGCUGCCCACCCCUCCUCAUCUCGUGCGGGCACGGAGGUGAGCUUCUCCGACGGCGGCGGCGACCUACAGUCAAAGGGCGACGGCGCUCGAUUUGAUCUACAGGAGAGAGAGAAGAUGAGAGGGAGAGAGAGAAGGAAGGAGAGGAGGUAGAAAUAGAGAGGAAAGAGGAGAGGGAUGUGCCGCGGCCGACGGGAGAGGGUCACCGGAAGGAACAACUGGUCAUCGUUCACACCGCGCUGGGCCAGAGAUGGCUCUGUACAGCCCACACGUCUGCAGGUUCCUUCUUCCUUCCUGCUCCUCUCCUCUUUUGAUUAGCUGUAACUGCAUGUUUGGGUCAGUGCUAUGCCUGCUGUCGCUGGGCAGUACUUUAGGCAAGUCAACCUUCCAAUUCAGUACACGUCUGCACAAGGAGAAGAGCCCCUGUUAGCUUUUCUUUUUGCAGAUUAGCCCAAUAAUCUACAUCAGUCGAUUUGAGGGUAUGUUGAAUGUGAUAUUUAAUGAACAUGGUCAUUCUGUUGUUCAGAGUACACAAGUGGUUACCCUUGAAGUCUCCUCCUUGCCCCGCUUAUUCAUUAAGGUAAUAUUUUGAUUUUCUCAAUUUGUCGCUUCAGUUCCACAUUAACCAUGAAUUGUUGUGUGUAAAUACUCAUAUCCCGUUAAGUUCAUGUGUAUAAAUCAAGUGGGUUGAAGUGUACUGUGAAUUUCCUGAAAAAGUUUACUUGAGAUAUUAUAUGCAUGGUGUGGAUUGUUGAGUUUGCUUGGUUAAUGCCAUGCCUGUGCAGAUCAACAGGGGGGAGGUCCAGGGUGAGACCUUCAAGAGGGAUUUGAUGUUGCUAUUAUUUCAGUUUGCAGAUAGAGGAUGUGAUUCCAGCAAGACAGUGACGAUGGCGAUGACAAGUGAGAUUUAUGUUAAGGAGUAUUAGCAUAUGCUCAUAGGAUCACUAGAAGCAUAUAAAGGUAUCCACAAUGAUGAUUGCUUUCUUAUCGACAAAGAGUUGAAUUAUAAUUAUAGACGGUAAGAGUAGUACCUUUAUAAUCAUAGCUGUAUGCAAUGAUCCAUCAUGUAUUUCUGUUUAAAACCGCAACAUGUAAUUAUUUGAUGUCGUGAAAUGUCUAUAUAUAUAUAUUUUGUUUACAUUCUUAAGUUAGCCUCCAGACUAUCUACAUUGUCAUGGUAACCUUGGUAGGUUAUAAUAUGCAGAUCGAUAAUCCCGGUUCAGUUUGAGCUUUCCAACUUAACUUAACUUAACAGUAUAGUGUUAAUAUUAGGAUCACAACUUAACUUAAAUUAGCAGUAUAGUGUCAAUGGGCAUCAUCUGAAGCUAAUAAGAUGUUGUUACUGAAGAACAGCCCCUUGCUACUUACUUGAACAGUACGUGAAAAACACCCUAAAUAGAUUAAAGAAAUCAUACUUGACUGUGAUUGCAUUUGGUUGACGCUUACGUGUAUUUCUCAUCGGUAGAUCAAGGGGGUAAUCUUCUACAUUUCAGGUCCAAGCUUUCAAUGAAUUUUUCUAUCUUUUUUUCAUAUCCCAAUCAUCGUCUGCAAGGCCGAAGCAUCCAUGUCUAUAUGGUUUUGUGGCACUGAGUUCGUUCCAUGCCAGUUUAUUUCUAACAGUUGGUCUGCUUCUUCAUAGAGAUUUUAUCAGUAUACUAAAUUAAAUAAGAAACUGAAUGUGUACUGCUUUCACCUUCAGUUUGAACAUGAUUGUCCUAUUUGUGACAUAGGUGAAAAUUAGCAAGCAAGCAACAGUCGGUGCAUGGAUGACCAAGUUUACUUUUUACUUUAUGAAGAUGAUGAUUCCUAAAUAGAAUUACGAGCUAGGUCCUGCAUGUUGACCGUGCUUCAAGGUACAGUUGUUCAUGCCUUAUAAAAUUGUAAUGCUUUUUAUUGGUUGUGCAUCCUAGGACCAAAAGCUUGAUUCAUAGAUAGCCGAAGAACUGAGGAAUUUUACUCUCUGUCGUUGCAGGGUAGAAGAGAAUGGGAGGAGGGGACGCGCGCUCCAUAUUUUGUUAUGCACACCUUCCUAAACUAUACUUUUCUUCUUAACAUAUGUUCAUUGUCCAGCAGAAGCUGUAGAUUUUAGCGUACAAUAAUUUCCAAAAUGGUAGAAGGUAAGAACCAUGUUACAUGAUCCUUUUGUGUUCUCUUGAUUUAAAUUAACACGUACCUGUUAAACUUGGUGAUGAUUUUCGAGGUGUAUUUAUAAAUUAUCUGCCAAGGUUAUUCCUUCAGGCAAUUUUUUUCUUCUGAAGCCUAGGCAUAUUGGUUGUUUGGUUGGCUCUCUUUACUAGCAGGAAGAUAACUACUACGUGUUGCUUAGUUGUGUUGCUUAGUUAUUAGCGGAUUGACUGUAUGAAUUAUCUUAUGUUCACCCAGAGUUAUAGGUUUCUAAAUACUAGGCUCUUGGGACUUAAUUCUAAUGGUUAGUUUUUUUGGAUUCAUGUACUCCGGUGCUACAGCCUAGGUAAAGCUCCUUCACAAUAGUAUUUAAAGCUUAUAUUGGUAACUCCAUCAGAGUUCAAGCAUUAGGCUCUCUGCUCUGUGUAUUGCAAAGUGUUCUAUAUAAUGCUUUGAUGUUCCUUUGUCACUGUUUGAUGUUCUACCUGGGUGGCCUCUGUCUUGGUUUACAGCUCCAUAUGGCUACCUAUGUAUACCUAUGUAGAUUUUGUUUGAACUGUACUCAAAUCGUGCAUAUGUUUCUAUAUUCUUGCCUUCCUCUUUUUAACUCAUGAGAUUGUUAGAUAGUUGAAUAUCAUUGGUCUCUGUCGGCAUUCUAUUUUCGCAGUUUGAAAUGAGUAUUGGUCCAUUGAUAUUAAACUUCACAAUAGGUAGUGGCAUCUUCAGGAAAAAGUAGUGGCAAAUAUGCUAGAGAUUUCUUUUUUGCUGCAGGAAUGACACUAUUGCCCAAAUCCUCAACACAUAUUUUUUAGUAACUGAGAGGAUUAUUCACCUUUGCUGUUGUAGGCAUUCAAGAUCUGGCAGGGCUGGGUCAACCGGCCCUUCGUGUUCAAGACCUGGCUCUGAUGAGCCUUGACAGUCCUGCUACCGGCUGGGCAUCGUCAUCCUGAGCCAUGUCCGGAACCAGACCAGUAGGGGCACCCUAAGCGAGCACUCGAGGCAUGCUGUCAAGUUGGACAAGUGCAACCAGGCCAGCUGUUGUGUGUGUCCACGGUUACAUUGUUGUAUUGUUGGUUAAAGACAAUGUUUUUCUUCUUGAAUUAUGAAACCUCGAACAACAGUUGGAUAUAAUCGUUUUGUUCGUUUUGCAAUCAAAGCUUCCAUCGAAUAAUAUUUUAGAAUUGUGCUCUGUCUUAUUCAUAAACUGUGGCUAUUUUGUAGAUUCAUACACGAUACGGCUUUGUGUGCAUUGAAAUAGCAACAAGUUGGCCUCUCGGUCUCAUUUAUGUAUACAUUUGACUCAUACACGCAGCCAGCAUGUCCAUGUGAUCUGGAUGAAUUUCUCUAUCCUGUUUUAUGUUGUGAUGUCUUUGAUUUUUUGUCUCUUCCAGAUUUACAUAUAGAUGCCUCGGUGAAUACUCAAGAAUUUUGUGUUCUUUUCUAUUGACGGCCUUUAGGUAUUUUAUUUUUAUUUUUAUAAUGAUUCUGAAACGAGGUCACUCCCUACUAAUCUUGCUCUCCAGGCCUGGUGGCGGGAUGCUUGGUCAAGAAUGCAGGGUGAGUAAAACAAAACGCUUUUAUCUCUCUGGUCAUCUAGAGCAUAUGGAGGAGCAAGAUAGCGGGCUUUGACAGUGUCUUCACACCGCCCCAGAGGGGGUGCCACUGAGGGCUUUCUCAUGGAACACGGUGCAAUGUGGUUUUAUGCACGCCUAUGAGCAGGCUACCCUGCACGCUGGUCUUCUACUGCUUUCCCAGGCAUAUUACUUCCCCGUGAGAUGCUUCCAAGGGCUCUAUUCGGCUCCAUUGUAUUUUUCUUCUUUUUUGAUUGCUUUUCCUUCUCUGUUUCUUUUUUAUAUGCAAGGCCAUAAAUUUUUACCAUGCAUCCUUGCUCGCAUAGAAAAUUACUUCAAAAUACACAUGCUUCUAAAAAUGCACAUCCUUUUCAAAACUAUGUAUAUCUUAUUAUCAAAGAUUAUAAGGCAGAAUGUGUUUGCCCACGACUAAAACAAGUAAUACAUUGUACUUUUUUCAAAGCACACAUGGAAUUAGCGGGCUCCUUCAGGUAUUUCAAGGGAAAAGCAGAAUAUGUUUAACUAAUUUUCUAUAUUGCUUAUUUAUGCAUUUGUGACCAUAGCUUUCCACUUUAGCUCAUAAACUGGAUGGCAAAAUAGAGUUUGCCCAUUUCAUAUCUAUGUUGUCUUAUUAGGAAAAAAGAUUUUGUUUAAUAGCUGAUGCUUAAUAUGUUUUAUCGACCGUUGAAUGCUCAACUUUAGCUCAUAAACUAGAUGGCAAAUGCUAAUUCUGAUGGGGCUUUUCGCACUUAUUGUUUUAUUGUUGUCUAGACAGCUGAUGGCAUGCUUCUUUCUUGCUAAUUGUCAAUUCUUUUGUACAGGGUCCCUCAGCUACUUAUGCUUUGGUAGACAAUAAGAGUAUGUAGAUAGCAUGUAUGGUUUUUACAUUGUUUUGCGUAGGUUGACAUGCAUCACAUGAUGUUUUCCUUUUACGUUUAUGAGUAUUACAUAGUCCUUUCUUUUUCCACAAGGGGCAGUAGUUGUGCCAUUCGAUUCGAAGGACAAAGAGUUGAUCACAAAGGCGUAGCAUUCAGGAUAUAUACACAAAAGAGUAUAGAACCAAAUUAUAUGAUGUAAUUGACCACUUUCUAUUAACUUCUCUUGUAUACAAUGUUCACGAGUUCAUGUAUUAAGUACAUUUUAUUGUGUCACUUGUGUUUACUCUUUUUUUAAUGCAAGUUUACAGCUACUCAGAGUUCCUAAUUGUAGACUCAACUAUCUUGACCUACUGAUGAUCUAAUUUGUGGCAUUAUUACCUUAAGAAAAUAUUUGCAUUUAAUUUUCUUUAUAUAUAGGGGUAUAAGUUCUGACCAAAUGUACUCAAAUAUACGGUUAUUGAAAAAAUGCAAACAUUUUCAACACGAACAUGGUUUUAAACGGGUCUUUGCGUCAUUUGGCGCAACUGGUCAUCUAGUUAUUACAAAUGGCAAGAUCUUCAUAGGGGAGAGGCCAACCUUUCCUGCUUGGUGUUGUAAAUUUGUACAUGACAUCUCUUCUUGCAGAUAGAGUUAAUGCUUACCAAAGCUCCUGGAUUGGAUUAGUAAUCUCCAUUAGAUAAAUAGGUAGGUAGGAAAGUGUUGAUUUUCCGUUCUUUUCUUGGUUCCCUUUGUAAGCAUUUUUUGCUUGCUUUUGUUUUGAUGGAAUAAAGGACUGUGGAGCUGUUGCUCCAUACUCCCUCCGUUCGGAAUUACUUGUCUUGGAAAUGGAUGUAUCUAGAACUAAAAUACGUCUAGAUACAUCCAUUUCUGCGACAAAUAAUUCCGAACGGAGGGAGUAAUAGUUACAAAAAUCUGAGAUUUUCUUGAUUUUUCACUAGUAUGAUUACACUCCUUCACAAGGAUCUUAUGCCAUGCAUGUUGGAGAUUUAUUUCAAUAGUUCCAUAAUAUGUUUUGAAUGCUGUUGCUAUCUAGUUCAGUUAGAUGCUUAUUAUCCAGACCAACAAAAAUUCUUUAGCAAGGGUCUCUACAAGAAUAUGUUUCAUCCUACUCUACUAGCAAAAACCGAUGGAGUUGCUCGUAGUGACAUGGAAAAGAAACCAUAAUCUUUUUGUAUUGAUAAGUAAAGAAACUGAAAUUUGCAACUGCAAAUCAGGGGAUCUUAAUGUCAAAUACUGAAUGCUUCCACAACUAGUUGUGAGACAUAUUCAUUGCAGUGCCAAAUAAAGAACCUUAUUCAUGAAUUAAUAACAGCAAGACAAUGGUCCGCGUGUUGUAUAUAAUAAAUAUCACACAGGUUUUGUAUAUGUGUAGCCGGUUCUAGAAUUUACAUAUGCAUGCUCGAGAACCUAUGUUCGUACAUACAUACACAGACCAUAUAGAAUGAAAAAUAUGCUCUGGUCGUCCAGCAGAGUCGUGGACAAAAGUGACGUUCACAAAAGACCUUCAUACAUAGGCCAUUGUUUCAACUCGUAGUUUAGGCCUUGCCAGACUCCUCGCAACCCGGUGGCCUGAAGGCGAUGAAGCUGACGCACUGCACCUGGCGCAGGUUGUCGAAGCCGAUGACGCGGACAUAGGCGUCAGGGUACUCCUUCUUGACCUCCUCCACCUCGUUGAGCACCUGUGUG
Molecule: long non-coding RNA, 27696 nt
Filed under: Triticum aestivum (bread wheat)
Lineage: Eukaryota; Viridiplantae; Streptophyta; Magnoliopsida; Poales; Poaceae
Description: long non-coding RNA (TAES_LNC020047)
Rfam family: MIR1120/MIR1122 microRNA precursor family (bases 26798-26912)
Source: RNAcentral